Molecule: ribosomal RNA, 425 nt
Filed under: uncultured bacterium
Lineage: Bacteria
Description: partial 16S ribosomal RNA
Rfam family: Bacterial small subunit ribosomal RNA
Source: RNAcentral
GUGGGGAAUAUUGCACAAUGGGGCAAACCCUGAUGCAGCGACGCCGCGUGAGUGAAGAAGUGUUUCGGUACGUAAAGCUCUAUCAGCAAGGAAGAAAAUGACGGUACUUGACUAAGAAGCCCCGGCUAACUACGUGCCAGCAGCCGCGGUAAUACGUAGGGGGCAAGCGUUAUCCGGAUUUACUGGGUGUAAAGGGAGCGUAGACGGUAUGGUAAGUCAGAUGUGAAAGCGCGGGGCUCAACCCCGGGACUGCAUUUGAAACUAUCAGACUAGAGUGCAGGAGAGGUAAGUGGAAUUCCUAGGGUAGCGGUGAAAUGCGUAGAUAUUAGGAGGAACCCCAGUGGCGAAGGCGGCUUUCUGGACGGUGUCGGACACUGAGGCGCGAAAGCCAGGGGAGCGAACGGGAUUAGAUACCCCGGUAGUCC